UUAAUUUGAGAGUUUGAUCCUGGCUCAGGACGAACGCUGGCGGCGUGCCUAAUACAUGCAAGUCGAACGAACUCUGGUAUUGAUUGGUGCUUGCAUCAUGAUUUACAUUUGAGUGAGUGGCGAACUGGUGAGUAACACGUGGGAAACCUGCCCAGAAGCGGGGGAUAACACCUGGAAACAGAUGCUAAUACCGCAUAACAACUUGGACCGCAUGGUCCGAGUUUGAAAGAUGGCUUCGGCUAUCACUUUUGGAUGGUCCCGCGGCGUAUUAGCUAGAUGGUGGGGUAACGGCUCACCAUGGCAAUGAUACGUAGCCGACCUGAGAGGGUAAUCGGCCACAUUGGGACUGAGACACGGCCCAAACUCCUACGGGAGGCAGCAGUAGGGAAUCUUCCACAAUGGACGAAAGUCUGAUGGAGCAACGCCGCGUGAGUGAAGAAGGGUUUCGGCUCGUAAAACUCUGUUGUUAAAGAAGAACAUAUCUGAGAGUAACUGUUCAGGUAUUGACGGUAUUUAACCAGAAAGCCACGGCUAACUACGUGCCAGCAGCCGCGGUAAUACGUAGGUGGCAAGCGUUGUCCGGAUUUAUUGGGCGUAAAGCGAGCGCAGGCGGUUUUUUAAGUCUGAUGUGAAAGCCUUCGGCUCAACCGAAGAAGUGCAUCGGAAACUGGGAAACUUGAGUGCAGAAGAGGACAGUGGAACUCCAUGUGUAGCGGUGAAAUGCGUAGAUAUAUGGAAGAACACCAGUGGCGAAGGCGGCUGUCUGGUCUGUAACUGACGCUGA
This 784-nucleotide ribosomal RNA is filed under the name Lactiplantibacillus plantarum. Its description in RNAcentral is "bacterial SSU rRNA". It matches the Rfam family "Bacterial small subunit ribosomal RNA", at positions 1 to 749 of the family's 1533-position model. The record is from RNAcentral. Lineage: Bacteria; Bacillati; Bacillota; Bacilli; Lactobacillales; Lactobacillaceae.